AGUAAUGUCUGGGAAACUGCCUGAUGGAGGGGGAUAACUACUGGAAACGGUAGCUAAUACCGCAUAACGUCGCAAGACCAAAGUGGGGGGACCUUCGGGGCCUCAUGCCAUCAGAUGUGCCCAGAUGGGAUUAGCUAGUAGGUGGGGUAACGGCUCACCUAGGCGACGAUCCCUAGCUGGUCUGAGAGGAUGACCAGCCACACUGGAACUGAGACACGGUCCAG
Molecule: ribosomal RNA, 224 nt
Filed under: uncultured bacterium
Lineage: Bacteria
Description: partial 16S ribosomal RNA
Rfam family: Bacterial small subunit ribosomal RNA
Source: RNAcentral